CUGGUAGAAUGGCCCAUGAUGGAGAGCUAUAAAUAGCUUCACUUGGACACUCUUCUUGGC
This is a microRNA precursor of Astatotilapia calliptera (eastern happy), 60 nucleotides long. The record is from Ensembl. NCBI's taxonomy places the organism in Eukaryota, Metazoa, Chordata, Actinopteri, Cichliformes, Cichlidae.